Non-coding RNA from Chelonoidis abingdonii (Abingdon island giant tortoise), 1836 nucleotides. The record is from RefSeq and is a predicted model, not a curated record. NCBI's taxonomy places the organism in Eukaryota, Metazoa, Chordata, Testudines, Testudinidae.
GGCCCCUGCAGGGUCAAGGGCAAAUUGCCCCACUUGCCCUCCCCGCCCCGGGCAGCCCCGGAACCCUGUGGUUCUACCACUCUCACCUGGAUCCUGGAGUGACAGCCCAUCUCCAAUCAUGUUAACUCAAGACACCCGACUGUAAUUGGUACUUGCAAGAAGCUUUCCAUAAAUCCUGUAACCAGCAGCUGAAUGAUUAAAGUGAUUGAUUAAACAGCUUCUUCCAAACAGACAAAUUGUCUAUUCGCCCAAGAGCAGAGAAAAGGGUUAAAGCUACACAAACUCUGUAUGCUUGGGUCUUAUUUGGAACUCUUAGCUGCCUUUGACAUUGCACUGGGCCUGCGUCCCAGGCUGACUGCUCUUCACGAACAGCCCUUGACCAGUGAAGCCCCUUCCAUCUUUAAAGGAAGAUUUUAACUAUUUAGUGCCCCUUUUAUCUUGGGACCCCAGCCUUGGUGAGCCAGGUGUGCAAUUUUGCCAGGCUCCUGGAAGCAGCAUCUUCCCAAUUGAUAGCCCAGCCACUAUUCCCUUACCUCCCAUGAAGUCUUAUCUUGUCACUGGCCGUUGUUUUGUUUCCUGCUUGCUCUUUCUAAGAGCUCCUUUUGGUUUAACUCCCCAAGACAGACUAAGCAAUAUCAAGCAGGUAAAAAGAAAGCUCUUCCACUUUCUCCAUGACAAAUAUCACACAAUAAGAUGUUCAUGCCUUGAACAUAUUUUUUUCUAGGUCACUUUAUUGUUUAAAAUAUUAGCACACUUGAUCUUCAAUUUAUUUUUGUACCACUCAUGAAAUACGGUGAGAAACGUACUGCAUUUUACAGUAUACACCUCUGCAACUCUAAAUACUACUUUCCCCCAACGGGCAAAGUAAAAAAGAUAACAUAAAACCCCAAGACUAUUUAAGGCAGUGAAAGGAAUUGGACCAAUGCGGGUGUCCUUGUGACCAUUUCACUUCCUCUCAGGAUACCUUUUUCCCCUCACAGCUAAGCAACUUAAAACUUGAGCAUUCAGCUUAAGCUAUAUUUAGUAGGUCAAAGAAAACAUGGUCUCUCUACACCAAUGCAAGUUUCUUAAUUCCAAUACAUAAGAUACUCAUAGCAUCUUAAGUUUUCCACUAAGUGUAGGUGUUGUGCUGUAACUUGAUACGUGUACAAAUAUCUCAAAAAUAGCCCUUCCCUCCCCAACCCAAAUGGAAUGUUAAUAACUGACAGUUUAAAUAAAUAGCAAAAAUAACUGGCAACAUCUAACUCCUACCUUGAUUCUAGCUCAAAUCACUGAAAUAAAUACAAAAUGAAUCAUUGGUUUGUUGAGACACUAAGGAAGCUUACUAUAUUUAUAAAAAUAAACCAGUGGAAGACAGUAAUUUUUCUUAUUCUGUCCCACAUAGAUUACACUAUAUUGCUACAGCUGAGAAGGCUCAUAACACGUCACACCUUUGUAGUGUACCUCUUUUUGACAGCUUCAGGAAAAUUAGUUGGCACUUCUUUUCUUGUGCUUUUCAAACACAGAUUUGCAAAGGAAAAUAAUGCCAUAUAACUGAAGUCACUGAUUUAAAAUUAAACCACCUUUAUAUUAGAGAGAGAGAGAGCGAGCUGAAAUAUAUAUAUAGCACAGAAGAAGGAAAUGCAAGGCAGAUAAAGGACUGGAUUUUCAUUUUUGAAAGUUUGUUAUAUGGCAAGUUUUUGUUUCAUAACUGCAAAAUAAGUUAAUACAAAAUAAGGGUUUGUAUAACCAAAACCACUGUUACUGCAUAAACCUUUUCAACUGCUGCACAAAAAGGCUUAAUUUCAAUACCUAAAAAUAGUUUAAACAGUUUGGAUCAUUUUCUGAAUAUGAAAA